GAUGAACGCUGGCGGCGUGCCUAAUACAUGCAAGUCGAACGCAUAGCGAAAGGUGCUUGCACCUUUCAAGUGAGUGGCGAACGGGUGAGUAACACGUGGACAACCUGCCUCAAGGCUGGGGAUAACAUUUGGAAACAGAUGCUAAUACCGAAUAAAACUUAUUGUCGCAUGACACAAAGUUAAAAGGCGCUUCGGCGUCACCUAGAGAUGGAUCCGCGGUGCAUUAGUUAGUUGGUGGGGUAAAGGCCUACCAAGACAAUGAUGCAUAGCCGAGUUGAGGGACUGAUCGGCCACAUUGGGACUGAGACACGGCCCAAACUCCUACGGGAGGCUGCAGUAGGGAAUCUUCCACAAUGGGCGAAAGCCUGAUGGAGCAACGCCGCGUGUGUGAUGAAGGCUUUCGGGUCGUAAAGCACUGUUGUAUGGGAAGAACAGCUAGAAUAGGAAAUGAUUUUAGUUUGACGGUACCAUACCAGAAAGGGACGGCUAAAUACGUG
RNAcentral lists this ribosomal RNA (497 nucleotides) under uncultured bacterium. RNAcentral describes it as "partial 16S ribosomal RNA". It matches the Rfam family "Bacterial small subunit ribosomal RNA", at positions 28 to 507 of the family's 1533-position model. The record is from RNAcentral.